RNAcentral lists this ribosomal RNA (200 nucleotides) under uncultured bacterium. RNAcentral's name for it is "partial 16S ribosomal RNA". It matches the Rfam family "Bacterial small subunit ribosomal RNA", at positions 29 to 256 of the family's 1533-position model. The record is from RNAcentral.
AACGAACGCUGGCGGCAUGCCUAACACAUGCAAGUCGAACGAGACCUUCGGGUCUAGUGGCGCACGGGUGCGUAACGCGUGGGAAUCUGCCCUUGGGUUCGGGAUAACAGUUGGAAACGACUGCUAAUACCGGAUGAUGACUUCGGUCCAAAGAUUUAUCGCCCAGGGAUGAGCCCGCGUCGGAUUAGCUUGUUGGUGAG